This is a non-coding RNA of Rattus norvegicus (Norway rat), 864 nucleotides long. The record is from RefSeq and is a predicted model, not a curated record. Lineage: Eukaryota; Metazoa; Chordata; Mammalia; Rodentia; Muridae.
GAACUCAAACAAUCUUGGAAUUCGCAGAAUUCUACAAAGCACCCAUCAAACUGCCAUAAACCCAUUUUCAUUAUUAACAAGUGAAGGCAAAUUUUUCCGGACCAAAAAUCUCAACUCUCUUAUCCUGAGAGGUGUGCAGGGGAUGGUGGCCUACUAUGUCUAAAGAUCCCAGGGAUGGCGAUUGUCGAAAAGGAGCCAGUGAGGACGUGAAGAGUCUAAUACUCUUCAUCCGCAAUUCUGAAAUUCGAGAAGCUCCUCUAAUCAUUGUUACAUAACUCGCUGGGUGUCAAGGUUUGGCCUGACCUGAAUGACAGAAGGCUAUUAAUAGACUUUAUCUCAUUCCCUGGCUAGCCUUUGGCUGAAGAAACAGUAUGACAGUUGCCCAGUACUGAGAAAGACCCUUCUAGGGAUGAGGACAGUCAUUUAUCGGCAAGGCUAGAGGCAAGAAGAGUCCAGAUUGAAUUACACUGAAGGGAAGACUCAGAGGUUUGGAAUCCUCACCCACUGGACUGGCCCUGCAUGCGCCUCCUACAUCUCGGGCCUACAGAUAGAUACUCUAGCUUCACCAGAACUGAUGAGAGAGCUGGGUGUGGUGCUGGCUGCUAUCAUCCAGGAUGUAAAUUCAAGGCCAGGACUUGCGGGAAUGGAGGUUCCAGACUCCGAGUGACUCCUUUAUGAGCUGGUAGGAGAAGCAGGAGUAGGCAGUGAUCUUGUGACUCUGAGGGAUGGAACCAAGACCUUCAAGCUUCUGUGAGGCCUAGCCCUGUGUCGGUUUUUUCCUUAGUCUUCUGGGUUAUUCUGCCCUCUAUUUGACCCCCAUUGUUCUGGUUUGCCUCCCAGAGAUCACAUGUUUUUACUGCCUUA